AACGCUGGCGGCGUGCUAAUACAUGCAAGUCGAACGAGUUCUCGUUGAUGAUCGGUGCUUGCACCGAGAUUCAACAUGGAACGAGUGGCGGACGGGUGAGUAACACGUGGGUAACCUGCCCUUAAGUGGGGGAUAACAUUUGGAAACAGAUGCUAAUACCGCAUAGAUCCAAGAACCGCAUGGUUCUUGGCUGAAAGAUGGCGUAAGCUAUCGCUUUUGGAUGGACCCGCGGCGUAUUAGCUAGUUGGUGAGGUAAUGGCUCACCAAGGCGAUGAUACGUAGCCGAACUGAGAGGUUGAUCGGCCACAUUGGGACUGAGACACGGCCCAAACUCCUACGGGAGGCAGCAGUAGGGAAUCUUCCACAAUGGACGCAAGUCUGAUGGAGCAACGCCGCGUGAGUGAAGAAGGCUUUCGGGUCGUAAAACUCUGUUGUUGGAGAAGAAUGGUCGGCAGAGUAACUGUUGUCGGCGUGACGGUAUCCAACCAGAAAGCCACGGCUAACUACGUGCCAGCAGCCGCGGUAAUACGUAGGUGGCAAGCGUUAUCCGGAUUUAUUGGGCGUAAAGCGAGCGCAGGCGGUUUUUUAAGUCUGAUGUGAAAGCCCUCGGCUUAACCGAGGAAGCGCAUCGGAAACUGGGAAACUUGAGUGCAGAAGAGGACAGUGGAACUCCAUGUGUAGCGGUGAAAUGCGUAGAUAUAUGGAAGAACACCAGUGGCGAAGGCGGCUGUCUGGUCUGUAACUGACGCUGAGGCUCGAAAGCAUGGGUAGCGAACAGGAUUAGAUACCCUGGUAGUCCAUGCCGUAAACGAUGAAUGCUAGGUGUUGGAGGGUUUCCGCCCUUCAGUGCCGCAGCUAACGCAUUAACGCAUACC
This 875-nucleotide ribosomal RNA is filed under the name Lacticaseibacillus paracasei. RNAcentral's name for it is "bacterial SSU rRNA". It matches the Rfam family "Bacterial small subunit ribosomal RNA", at positions 32 to 870 of the family's 1533-position model. Lineage: Bacteria; Bacillati; Bacillota; Bacilli; Lactobacillales; Lactobacillaceae. The record is from RNAcentral.